AUUGAACGCUGGCGGCAGGCCUAACACAUGCAAGUCGAGCGAGCGGGGACGGGUGAGUAAUGUAUGGGGAUCUGCCCGAUAGAGGGGAUAACACUUGGAAACAGGUGCUAAACCGAUACUGAUGGAUGGACCCGCGGUGCAUUAGCUAGUUGGUGAGGUAACGGCUCACCAAGGCCACGAUGCAUAGCCGACCUGAGAGGGUGAUCGGCCACACUGGGACUGAGACACGGCCCAGACUCCUACGGGAGGCAGCAGUGGGGAAUUUUGGACAAUGGGGGAAACCCUGAUCCAGCCAUCCCGCGUGUAUGAUGAAGGCCUUCGGGUUGUAAAGUACUUUUGGCAGAGAAGCGGUAUCUGCAGAAUAAGCACCGGCUAACUACGUGCCAGCAGCCGCGGUAAUAC
Molecule: ribosomal RNA, 402 nt
Filed under: uncultured bacterium
Lineage: Bacteria
Description: partial 16S ribosomal RNA
Rfam family: Bacterial small subunit ribosomal RNA
Source: RNAcentral